UCUCCCAUGGAGAGGCGACGUUGUCAGGGGGGCGAUCAGAGGGUGCGACAAUGGCUGAGGGCAAAGGUCGAGCACGAAUCCCCCACCCGAGCGGUGGCUCCCAGCGCUCGGUCCCCGGCACCUCGAACGGGACGCUGGCCGGAGCGGGAGGCCCGCAGCGCGGCAGGAGGAACUCGGCCGUUUCGGAUUGUACCAUGACUGAGGAUGAGGAGCUGGCCGACGGCGGCAUCCCAUAUGGGGCCCGGGAUGAUGACCCGAACCGCCGGCGGAUGCUGAGGCACCAGUACCGGGAGCUCAUCAACAGCGUCCAGCAGAAUCGAGAGGAUAUGAUCAGACCCAACAGUAAUAAAUUAACAGAAGCACUUGAGGAAGCUAACAAACUGUUUUCCAAUGUCCGACAGACACGUGAAGCAGCCUUGGAUGCACAGUUUUUAGUGCUUGCGACAAACCUGGGCCAAGAAAAAGCUAAUCAGUUACACACAGAUAUGAUGGUUUUUGACCCAUCAGUCUUUGCAGAGGAACUGUUAACGUUCAUGGGCUUGAACCGAUUGGAAACUGAAGGGAGUGAUGAUGAUGAUGAAUCUGCAGGGUGGCUUCCUAAAGAUGCCUGGACCAAACUUGGAAAUGAAACAGAAAAAUAUUUUAAAAGAGCUCCAGCCUUUCAUUUUAUGCUGGGGUCUUUCAAGAGUGAACCUCCAGUUCCACGACAGAGAAUUGAGAGACAGAAGAGGGUCCCGAUGAAGGAAGAACACAGAAUAAUGCCUACACAGCUGAAGAAAAUGGAUGAAUCUCACCAAGAAGCCACUGAAAAGGAAGUCGAGAGGAUCUUGGGACUAUUGCAGGAGUACUUCAAAUCUGACCCUGAAACACCGAUAAAUUUCUUUGACUUUGUAAUUGAUCCACAUUCUUACGCACGGACUGUGGAGAACAUAUUCCAUGUCUCCUUCAUUGUGAGGGAUGGUUUUGCUGCCAUUGGACUUGACCAAGACAAACUACCAAUCAUUGAGCCAGUGAAUGAAGGUGUGGAUAAUGAAAGGCCGCAACAACAAAGGCAGCAGACAGUUAUUUCUUUGAGUCAACAGGAAUGGAAGGAAAUAAUUGAUACAUUUGAAAUAGCAGAUGCGAUGAUACCACCAUCCACCCAAGGAGACUGAUUAAAUUAUUUGAUAUAUUUAACGGGUUGGAGCAGGUGAAGCUGGAUAGAUGGGGUCAAAGGAGAGAUUGACAAAGAUGACAUGGACAAAGGGGUGUUAAUCGUAGUGAUACUGGCUAAAGGAGGCGCUGAUGGUGGUAUUAAGGUACCUUAUCUAAAAUCUCUACAAUAGAAAAUGUAAUCUUGGAGAAGUGAGGAUUAUCUUGUACAUAUGGCUAAGGAAGUUUAUACAGCAAUAUAAUAAAUGUUACUGCCUUUAUUUGUGUAUUCUUUCAGUUCUGUUAUUGAAAAUUAAAGUUACUUUUUACCUAGAA
RNA transcript from Carcharodon carcharias (great white shark), 1467 nucleotides. It is a transcript of the gene named NSE4 homolog A, SMC5-SMC6 complex component, with no coding region annotated. The transcript is spliced from 12 exons. Lineage: Eukaryota; Metazoa; Chordata; Chondrichthyes; Lamniformes; Lamnidae. The record is from RefSeq and is a predicted model, not a curated record.